RNAcentral lists this transfer RNA (97 nucleotides) under Arabidopsis thaliana (thale cress). RNAcentral's name for it is "ATSL141850". The stretch from base 5 to 89 matches the Rfam family "tRNA". Rfam says of the family: Transfer RNA (tRNA) molecules are approximately 80 nucleotides in length. Their secondary structure includes four short double-helical elements and three loops (D, anti-codon, and T loops). Lineage: Eukaryota; Viridiplantae; Streptophyta; Magnoliopsida; Brassicales; Brassicaceae. The record is from RNAcentral.
GUAACCGACCUUAGCUCAGUUGGUAGAGCGGAAGACUGUAGGCGUUGCAGAUAAUCUUUAGGUCGCUGGUUCGAUUCCGGCAGGUCGGAUUUUUUUU